AGGGUUUUAGGUGUCGACAAAGCC
This 24-nucleotide non-coding RNA is filed under the name Arabidopsis thaliana (thale cress). The record is from RNAcentral. Lineage: Eukaryota; Viridiplantae; Streptophyta; Magnoliopsida; Brassicales; Brassicaceae.